Molecule: microRNA precursor, 84 nt
Filed under: Bombyx mori (domestic silkworm)
Lineage: Eukaryota; Metazoa; Arthropoda; Insecta; Lepidoptera; Bombycidae
Description: mir-2807 microRNA precursor family
Rfam family: mir-2807 microRNA precursor family
Source: Rfam by way of RNAcentral
UUAUGUCAAAUUUGUAUGGAGUUGGAACAGCGCCCCUAGCGGCAAACGUAGGCAAACGUUCCAACUCCAUACAAAUUUAAGUUA